CGCCCGCCGCGAACUUAGAAGGGCUUCUUUGGGGUAGACGCUCGGUGUCUUUAAAUGUCGUCGCACGUAUCGGAGUUCCUUUCUAAUACCUCGACCGAUCGAAUCGUCUCCCGUGUCGUUCGGACGCGCUGUCAGUGACCGCGUCGGUUCGCACGGGGGAAGGAAGUCGUUGGGUCGUAAGCGGAACGAAAGGAGUUUUCCGAGACUGCCACCCGGCCCCGUUUUUUUUCAUCGUCAACGUGUUUGCGACUGUACCGUAUGGAGAAAGGAAAAACGAGAGACAACUUUUAACGGUGGAUCUCUUGGCUCGUGCAUCGAUGAAGAACGCAGCCAGCUGCGAUAAGUAGUGUGAAUUGCAGAAUUCAGUGAAUCAUCGAAUCUUUGAACGCAAAUGGCGCUCUCGGGUUCUCCCGGGAGCACGUCCGUCUGAGUGUCGGCAUACAUAUAAGAUCGCACGACCGUGCGGCGUUGAGGCGUCGCGGCGUCCGGCCGCGUCCCUCGAAAUUCAGGAGAACCGCCGUGUAGCGAGAUCCUCGGAGGCCUAAAACGAAUUGGUUCCCCGCGAUCCGCAGCAGCCGGCUCGGUUCGACAAUAGUGACAACGAAUCGCAUCUCGACCUCA
This 621-nucleotide ribosomal RNA is filed under the name Palythoa tuberculosa. Its description in RNAcentral is "eukaryotic LSU rRNA". The stretch from base 283 to 436 matches the Rfam family "5.8S ribosomal RNA". Lineage: Eukaryota; Metazoa; Cnidaria; Anthozoa; Zoantharia; Sphenopidae. The record is from RNAcentral.